UUUGAUAGAGAGUUGUGGUCAGUCGAGAGUUUGGAUAGUUUGGAUAGAGUUUUGAUAAUCUGGAUACUAGAGUUUGGAUAGUGUUUAUAUAUUUUGAAUAUAGUUUGGAGAGUUUAGAGAGACAGAGAUAGGUUGGAGAUUUAGGAGAGUGAGGAGAGAAAGAUAGGUGUAUCAACCUUAUUUUGCAGCUUCGCCAGGGCGGCGCCAUAUUACAGCAUUUUGUCCUUUGAGUUCCGCUUCAGACCGGAAGUGCAGUUGUCAACAAAAGGAACGAGCGGUGUAAGCUAACCAGAUAGCGAUUUUAUUUCAUCAAGAUGUCGAGGCUGCCGUAAUAACUGGGCCAAGAGGAGAGAGUUUUUGAAACAAACCUGUUUUGAACAUCAUGUGGAGAGAUCGGAGUGUUGUGGGGCACCAUAUAAUCUACAUCGUCCGCCCAAAGAUGAGGAGCACAUACGGCAGUGGCUGAAAGCGCUAAACCUUAAGUGCCCACUGAAGCGCCCUUGUGUACAGUAUGUUCUUUUCAUUUUGUGGACAGAGCCGACAGAGGAGCACCCUUACCCCGAAAAAUGGCUCAGCUAUGAUGCUCCAGUACAGAAGCCACGGCGGGUUUUGAAGAGGCUGUCAGAUAGGGAUAUGACAGUCGGCAUCAAGGAUGCAGAGGAGCAGGAUGACCACAUUCACAUGCCUCCACGUUGUGAUGUGGAAACUCAGUGGGAGGAUCUGUCUGUCUCUGAACACAGCUAUGCUGCAAGAUCAUCACUCCAUCUGAAGCCUCUGACAUCUUUACAAUAUAAUUGUAAUAAAUCUUAAAAUUUCUGA
Long non-coding RNA from Acanthochromis polyacanthus (spiny chromis), 819 nucleotides. RefSeq lists it as uncharacterized. The record is from RefSeq and is a predicted model, not a curated record. Lineage: Eukaryota; Metazoa; Chordata; Actinopteri; Pomacentridae. The transcript has 2 exons.